UACGUAGGGGGCGAGCGUUGUCCGGAAUCAUUGGGCGUAAAGGGUUCGCAGGCGGUUUAGCAAGUCCGAUGUCAAAUCUAAAGGCUCAACCUUUACCCGCAUUGGAAACUGUUAAACUUGAGUGAAGGAGAGGUAAGUGGAAUUCCUAGUGUAGCGGUGGAAUGCGUAGAUAUUAGGAGGAAUACCAGUGGCGAAGGCGACUUACUGGACUUCAACUGACGCUGAGGAACGAAAGCAUGGGUAGCAAACAGG
This 252-nucleotide ribosomal RNA is filed under the name uncultured bacterium. RNAcentral's name for it is "partial 16S ribosomal RNA". It matches the Rfam family "Bacterial small subunit ribosomal RNA", at positions 524 to 776 of the family's 1533-position model. The record is from RNAcentral.